CCCUUAGAUGUCCUGGGCCGCACGCGCGCUACACUGACGGAGCCAGCGAGCUUACCCCUUUGCCGAAAGGCAUGGGAAAUCUUUUGAAUCUCCGUCGUGCUGGGGAUAGAUCAUUGCAAUUAUUGAUCUUGAACGAGGAAUUCCUAGUAAGCGCAAGUCAUCAACUUGCGUUGAUUACGUCCCUGCCCUUUGUACACACCGCCCGUCGCUACUACCGAUUGAACGGUUUAGUGAGGGCCUCGGAUUGGUCUCGGCCCGCUCUUUACCGGGCGGCGCCGUUGGUCGAGAAGACGCUCGAACUUGAUCGUUUAGAGGAAGUAAAAGUCGUAACA
Molecule: ribosomal RNA, 332 nt
Filed under: uncultured eukaryote
Lineage: Eukaryota
Description: partial 18S ribosomal RNA
Rfam family: Eukaryotic small subunit ribosomal RNA
Source: RNAcentral